This 1102-nucleotide long non-coding RNA is filed under the name Olea europaea (common olive). Its description in RNAcentral is "long non-coding RNA (OEUR_LNC011952)". The record is from RNAcentral. Lineage: Eukaryota; Viridiplantae; Streptophyta; Magnoliopsida; Lamiales; Oleaceae.
AAAAGGGUUGGCUUCCACUCUUCCAAAAUUAUCCAAAGUCCAGACUCCAAGGCAAUCUCCUCUCCAAUUUACUUUCUCCAAUUCGUAAUUCUUCAAUAUCCUCUCCUCUCCAGCCCAUAUCGACAGACGGCAUCUCUAGCAAUUCGGGAAGUCCCAAAAGUUUUCUAAUCAAAUCAGGUUAUUAGGGCCUCAUCUUUUCUUGCAGGUGGAUUUCUUGUUUUUUGCUUUUAGUUUAUGCGCUUUUAAUUUCAUGAAUAUUCUGAUUGUUUAUUUAUCUUUUCUGAAUUUGGGAGGAACGUGGAGAAAACUUUUGGGUUGCUUUUUGUUUGGUGGCAGGCCUGUUGGCUGCGGGGUGGGGUGAGCGAGAUUGGGAAUUGAACAAACAGUGCUAACAAACUAAUAUUGAGAAGCACUGAGAUCGUGCUCAAUCUCAAUGUUUUGACUGCAUUCAGAUUAGGGAUGUAAUAUAUCUUGAUUUAAAAUUUACAUUUGCUUAAGGUAUAACUAACUUAACGAGUUAGUAAUCAAUUACUUCUUUCUUCACCCCCAAAAACUUCAAAUGCCCAUUGGCCAUUACCUACUGACUUUUGAAACCACAUUACAAGAUCAUCUCACAUAAUUAACCUUCUAACCCCAAAAUAUCCACAUUCAUGAUUAUAGAAAAAUAAGUAUAACUACAUAGCAAAAAUUUAACGUCAUACAUACCAGUAAGGUGGCAUAAUUAAAUUGUUGCAAUUCGUAGUGUUUGAAUCACUAUAAUUUUCCAUAUUUAAAUGUACUUUCUAUAUAGAAUCUUGUUUUUUUACCACUUGUUUGUAAAAUUGAUGGGACUCUUUUUGGUGUGAAAUAAACAGGAAGUAGAAUUACUACAACUUGAAGGCUUACAAUUUGGAGUUGAAGUCAAUGAAACAAAAGGUAUACGAUUGAUCGUGUUUAGAAAUAUAAAAAAUGCCAUUUAUGAAUACUUUUUUUCAUUAUUUCUUUGAUUAAGCCUUGUUUGACAACCAUAAUUCAUGUUUGUUUGGUAAGUAUUUUGAUUCCCUAUUUUGUAUUAACAGGCAUUAACAACUUGCCUUAUAAAUGAAGGUUCCCAUAUGGGAAU